This 637-nucleotide ribosomal RNA is filed under the name uncultured bacterium. RNAcentral describes it as "bacterial SSU rRNA". It matches the Rfam family "Bacterial small subunit ribosomal RNA", at positions 28 to 635 of the family's 1533-position model. The record is from RNAcentral.
AAUGAACGCUGGCGGCGUGCCUAACACAUGCAAGUCGAACGGUAACAGGAGAGGAGCUUGCUUCUCUUGCUGACGAGUGGCAGACGGGUGAGUAACGCGUGGGUAACCUACCUUAGAGUGGGGGAUAACUUCUCGAAAGGGAAGCUAAUACCGCAUAAUACUUUAGAUACGAGAGUGUUUAAGGUCAAAGCCUGGGAUCUUCGGACCAGGUGCUUAGAGAGGGACUCGCGUCAGAUUAGCUAGUUGGUGGGGUAAAGGCUCACCAAGGCGACGAUCUGUAGCCGGCCUGAGAGGGUGAUCGGCCACACUGGAACUGAGACACGGUCCAGACUCCUACGGGAGGCAGCAGUGGGGAAUUUUGCGCAAUGGGGGAAACCCUGACGCAGCAACGCCGCGUGGGUGAAGAAGCAUCUUGGUGUGUAAAGCCCUGUCAUCGGGGAAUAAGGUUAAUCGAUUAAGAGUUGAUUGACUUGAAUGUACUCGAAGAGGAAGCCCCGGCUAACUCCGUGCCAGCAGCCGCGGUAAUACGGAGGGGGCUAGCGUUAUUCGGAAUUACUGGGCGUAAAGGGCGCGUAGGCGGCUUUUUAAGUGAGAAGUGAAAUCCCACGGCUCAACCGUGGAACGGCUUCUCAUACUG